RNAcentral lists this ribosomal RNA (484 nucleotides) under uncultured bacterium. RNAcentral's name for it is "partial 16S ribosomal RNA". It matches the Rfam family "Bacterial small subunit ribosomal RNA", at positions 28 to 523 of the family's 1533-position model. The record is from RNAcentral.
GACGAACGCUGGCGGCGUGCUUAACACAUGCAAGUCGAACGAUGAAGCCGGAGCUUGCUCUGGUGAAUUAGUGGCGAACGGGUGAGUAACACGUGAGUAACCUGCCCUUGACUCUGGGAUAACUGCGGGAAACUGUAGCUAAUACCGGAUACGACCCUCGGAGGCAUCUCCUGGGGGUGGAAAGAAUUUCGGUCAAGGAUGGACUCGCGGCCUAUCAGCGAGUUGGUGAGGUAACGGCUCACCAAGGCGACGACGGGUAGCCGGCCUGAGAGGGGGGCCGGCCACACUGGGACUGAGACACGGCCCAGACGCCUACGGGAGGCAGCAGUGGGAAAUAUUGAGCAAUGGGCGCAAGCCUGAUGCAGCAACGCCGCGUGAGGGAUGACGGCCUUCGGGUUGUAAACCUCUUUUAGUAGGGAAGAAGCGAAAGUGACGGUACCUGCAGAAAAAGCACCGGCUAACUACGUGCCAGCCGCCGCGGUAA